UGGUUGUCGUGAUGGGCGUAUGGUGGAUGCCUUGGCAGACAGUACCGAUGAAGGACGUGUGGGGCCGCGAUAGUCCUGGGGGAGCCGCCGACAUGGCUUUGAUCCCAGGGUGUCCGAAUGGGGCAACCCGCCAGCCGUCAUGGGCUGGCACCGCACUUGUGCGGGGGGUACGCAGGGAAGUGAAACAUCUCAGUACCUGCAGGAGAGGAUACUCCGUGAGUAGUGGCGAGCGAAAGCGGAUGAUGGCUAAACCGUGCGCGUGUGAUACCCGUCGGGGGUUGCGCGCAUGGUGUCGUGGGAACGCCUGUCCAACGGCCGACGCCGUUGGCUGUGGUGAUAAAUGCAUGCGUGAGGCGAACCGGGUUGGAUACCGGGCCGUAGAGGGUGAUGGCCCCGUAGCCGUAUGCGCGUGCACCAUGGAUGGUGUCUCCCGAGUAGCGCGGGACUCGUGGAAUCCCGUGUGAAUCCGCCCGGACCGUCGGGUAAGCCUGAGUAUACCUGUCUGACCGAUAGCGUACGAGUACCGUGAGGGAAAGGUGAAAAGCACCCCGGGAGGGGAGUGAAAGAGUUCCUGAAACCGUGCGCCCGCGAACCGUCGGAGCCCCCUUGGUGGGGUGACGGCGUGCCUAUCGAAAAAUGAGUCUGCGAGUCAGUGGCAUGUGGCGAGCAUAAGCCGUGUGGUGUAUGCGUAGCGAAAGCGAGUCUUAAAAGGCGUCUUUUCAGUCGCGUGUCCUGGACCCGAAGCGGGAUGAUCUAGCCCUGGUCAGGUUGAAGCGCGGGUAAGACCGCGUGGAGGACCGCACCCACUUAGGUUGAAAACUGAGGGGAUGAACUGGGGUUAGGGGUGAAAGGCCAAUCAAAUUCCGUGAUAGCUGGUUCUCUUCGAAAUGCAUUUAGGUGCAGCGUCGGUUGAUUGCGUGUGGGGGGUAGAGCUACUGGAUGCUUGCGGGCCCGUGCCGGGUACCAACAGCAACCAAACUCCGAAUACCCAUCGCGUCUAUUCCGGCAGUGAGUCGGCGGGGGAUAAGCUCCGUCGUCGAGGGGGAGACAGCCCUGACCGUCGUCUAAGGUCCCCAAGCGCGUGCUAAGUGGGAAAGGAUGUGGAGUCGCAUAGACAGCCAGGAGGUUGGCUCAGAAGCAGCCAUCCUUGAAAGAGUGCGUAACAGCUCACUGGUCUAGUGGUUCCGCGCCGACAAUGUAGCGGGGCUCAAGCACGCCACCGAAGACGCGGAUGCGGCCGUAUGGCCGUGUGGUAGGAGAGCGUCCCACACCGGGGCGAAGCGGCGGGGGAACCCGGCCGUGGACUGUGUGGGAGUGAGAAUGCAGACAUGAGUAGCGAGAGCAGGGUGAGGAUCCCUGCCGCUGGAAGACCAAGGGUUCCAGGGCCACGUUCGUCGUCCCUGGGUGAGUCGGGUCCUAAGGCGAGGCCGACAGGCGUAGUCGAAUGGAUGAACGGGUCGAUAUUCCCGUA
This 1471-nucleotide ribosomal RNA is filed under the name Ligilactobacillus ruminis. Its description in RNAcentral is "Lactobacillus ruminis partial 23S ribosomal RNA". It matches the Rfam family "Bacterial large subunit ribosomal RNA", at positions 1 to 1443 of the family's 2925-position model. The record is from RNAcentral. Lineage: Bacteria; Bacillati; Bacillota; Bacilli; Lactobacillales; Lactobacillaceae.